GAUGAAGAACGUAGCGAAAUGCGAUAAGUAAUGUGAAUUGCAGAAUUCAGUGAAUCAUCGAAUCUUUGAACGCACAUUGCGCCCGCCAGUAUUCUGGCGGGCAUGCCUGUUCGAGCGUCAUUUCAACCAUCAAGCCCCCGGGCUUGUGUUGGGGACCUGCGGCUGCCGCGGGCCCUGAAAAGCAGUGGCGGGCUCGCUGUCACACCGAGCGUAGUAGAUUUUAUCUCGCUCUGGGCGUGCUGCGGGUUCCGGCCGUUAAACCACCCUUUUAACCCAAGGUUGACCUCGGAUCAGGUAGGAAGACCCGCUGAACUUAAGCAUAUCAAUAAGCGGAGGA
This 337-nucleotide unclassified non-coding RNA is filed under the name soil metagenome. RNAcentral's name for it is "partial contains 5.8S ribosomal RNA, internal transcribed spacer 2, and large subunit ribosomal RNA". The stretch from base 1 to 120 matches the Rfam family "5.8S ribosomal RNA", at positions 35 to 154 of the family's 154-position model. The record is from RNAcentral.